CUAGUGUCGGUGCUUGCGCCUGCCACACUAUUCUUUUGUUUUGUGUUGUUUUAAAUAAAUUUAUGUUAAUCUUUGUAAACCUGAGUUGCAUCCUCCUUCUUUGUUGCGGCCUGAGAGCCGGGGUCGUAACAAAUUGGGGGCUCGUCUGUUUUUGAAUUCUGUGGCAUUGAUGGCCAAACUGUGGGAUGGGUCGAGGAGCUGGUGCUGGCAGCUGUAGAGCUGCCAGCUAUUCCGAAAGCUCUGCGGGACCUGGGGCAAUACGCUCGGGCAAACAGGGUCAGCACGGUGGCUCUGACUGGUGACCAGGUGGCCACAGUGAGGUCAACUUUUCAGUGCCUUAUAUGCAGAGAUGUGAUGGAAAACCCAGUGGUGGCACCAUGCUGCCGCAGCCUCGUUGGGUGCCGGGUCUGCGUGGAGCAGUGGACAACCAACUCGCUGCACUGCCCAAAAUGCAGGGAUGACAGUUUUCAAGAAAAGAAAUUUUAGCUUACAGGGAUGGGGGAGGUUGUUACUGUUUUUGAAGGACAUCAUAAGAAGUUAGGGGAUUGUUGGUGUAGUUCGUUUUUAUUUUAGGAGGGUGGUUGUUGGGGGGCCUGUUAAGUUGAGUUAUGUUCAUCUGUUAUGUUAUUUUAUGUAAAUAAUAAAUUGUAAAAAAAAAUUCUGU
Molecule: long non-coding RNA, 664 nt
Organism: Perca fluviatilis (European perch)
Lineage: Eukaryota; Metazoa; Chordata; Actinopteri; Perciformes; Percidae
Exons: 3
Source: RefSeq, a predicted model, not a curated record